RNAcentral lists this ribosomal RNA (465 nucleotides) under uncultured bacterium. Its description in RNAcentral is "partial 16S ribosomal RNA". It matches the Rfam family "Bacterial small subunit ribosomal RNA", at positions 338 to 795 of the family's 1533-position model. The record is from RNAcentral.
CCUACGGGAGGCAGCAGUGGGGAAUAUUGCGCAAUGGGCGAAAGCCUGACGCAGCGACGCCGCGUGAGGGAUGAAGGUCUUCGGAUCGUAAACCUCUGUCAGCAGGGAAGAACGGUCACUGUGCUAAUCAGCAGUGAAUUGCCGGUACCUGCAAAGGAAGCACCGGCUAACUCCGUGCCAGCAGCCGCGUUAAUACGGAGGGUGCGAGCGUGAAUCGGAAUCACUGGGCGUAAAGCGCUCGUAGGCGGUAUGUCAAGUCAAGGGUGAAAUCCCAGGGCUCAACGUGAGAACUGCAUUUGAAACUGGUAAACUGGAGUGUGUGAGAGGAUAGUGGAAUUCCAGGUGUAGGAGUGAAAUCCGUAGAGAUCUGGAGGAACACCAGUGGCGAAGGCGACCAUCUGGCACAUAACUGACGCUGAGGAGCGAAAGCGUGGGUAGCAAACAGGAUUAGAUACCCUUGUAGUC